GGAUGUGUGAUUUCUAUGAUUUCUUUCCUUAGAGGAAAACACAGAAUUUAUAAUUUUCAAAAGGAUUGGGGGAAAGAUCUGGUCCAGGUGGGACUGUGCGUGUCCUUUCGUAUAGUCCAUGCUCCUUAGAGGUCACUGACAACUCUACCCAGAGGUGCCGAGGCCUGCAGGCUCUGAUGGCUGAUGGCAGGAAGCCACCUUUGUGUUCCCUCCAUCAGUGAAGACUAGGAGCAUCUCCUCUUGAGGUCACAUGCUCCAAUAUCAAUGGUCUUGAGCCACACAAACUGGGUAAGCAUCAUACAGUCAUCCCCCAAUUCACAAGGGAGAGAGUCCAAGCCCCCGUGGAAGGCUGGACGCAUGUUGGCCCGGAACCCUUCUCUGGACCAUGCCUUUUCUUACCCAGUCCGUGUUGACGAUGGUGUGUUCUGAAAGGUGCAGCGUGAGGCGUCUCAUUGCUGUGCCAACCUCAUACGGUGCCCUUGGAUGUCUCGUCCAUCCUCCUGAUACAACCCAAAGAGGAAGGAAGUUCAGGCUGUGAGCCUGCAGCCAUCAGAGCCUGCGUAGCACUUUAUGUACACGUCAAAAAACAGAAGUAGAAGGAAUGCUGUCUGGAAUAACAGUGUUAUAUAAGUCUAUAAACCAGUAAAAAAAUUAUCGCAUUAUAGACAUACAAAUCAGUAACAUAGCACUUAUUAUCACUAUCUUGUGUUGGGUACAGGACAUAAUUGCAUGUACUCUACUUCCACAUGACUGGCAGCACAGUAGGUCUGUUUCCACGGUCACCACAAAUGUGUGAGGAAUGCCUUGGUCACUAUGUUACGGUGGCUGAGACAUCAUAGGUGAUGGGAAUCUUUUGGCUUCAUUUUAGAAUCUUAUGGGCCCACCAUUGUCUGUCACCUGCUGUUCACCAAAACAUCAUUGUGGUGCACGCCUUCACAUGCAUACAUGCAUUUAUUCCAUUUCUGUCUUAAGUAGGUGCUGAUCACAAGCUGUGGCCAUGACUUUUGAAGUGUGAGGUGCAACAGCAAAACUAGCAUGAAUUUCAUUUUUCAGGAUUUUAUGGAUAGGUUUUUUUCCUCAUAGAUCUUAACAAACUUAGCAUAUGAUUUAUUUCUUUCCUUUCUACAUUUAGAACUUAUAUCCUUUCACAUAAAGCAAACACUUUACAACUUCUCCUUGGCAUAUCUAAAUUGCCAGCAUCACCACUCUUAUGUUUUGGGAUCAUUAUUAAGUCAAAUAAGGGCUAUUUGAACACGAUCACUGUGGUACCAUGAGAGUCAGUUUGAUAACCUACUAAGUGACUAAUGGGUGGGUAGUGUAUACAGCGUAGAUACACUGGGCAAAGUGAUGCUUCCUUCCCUGGGUGGGACAGAGUGAGACGAAACAAGAUUUCAUCCCACUGUUUAGAAUGGCAUACAAUUUAAAAGUUAGGAAUAAUUCAUUUCUGGAAUUCUCCAUUUAAUAUUUUGGGAUUUUAGUUGGCCACCAAAAAACUAAAACUGCAGAACUGUAAAUAAAGGUUGCCACUGUACGGUGGGAAAGCAUACAUGGUGGGAGCUGCUGGCUACGGGUAACAGUAAAGUCACUUGGUUUAACUAACUCUUCAGAGAUGACAAUUAUAAACCCUGGAAAGACAUCAAAGGGCUCAGAGAAGCAAACUCUGGAAAAGAGUCUACUGCAUGCAUGUUACAUGCUUUUUGCCUAGGAGCUCCAAAUCUGUACAAAAAUUGAGAUGCCUUAAAACCACAAUUGUACUGGCUUGAAAUGUUUUAGGACAGCAUCGAGGAGAGAAAUCCAGGGGCUAAGGGGGAAUCCUUGAGGGAAGGGAGCCCCUGAACUUGCACAUGAGAUUCACCAAAUAUUUGACCCAUUUAGGGUGUGUAGGUUCAAGGGAAAUGCUACCAGACACAGGAAGAAAAUAAAGCAGCACCUGGAAGGUGAAAGAUUCUAAGUGGAGAUUCUAGUUGCCGUUGGUGAAAGGGUAGACGAACUUCAGAGACUGAAACAGUUGAUUUAAUUGGCUGGUAGAAUGAAUAGAAAAAGCACCAAACAGACUGGAGUUUCUAUAAUCUAUUAUUCAAAAAUGUUUAGAAGCCACUCCAAAAUCUCUAGACAAAUGAAAAGACAGGAAAAUGUUGCUAAUAUUCAAGAAAAUCACUCGAGACCAACCCCAAGUUGAUCUAGAUAUUGCAAUUGAUAGACGAGAAAUUUUAAGCCACUACUGUAAAUGUGCUCAAAGACUGAAUGACAAAUCAAUACGCGUAGGAAAUAUAUACAAAGUAGGAAAUCUCAGAGAAGAAAUGGGAAGAGCAAAAUGGAAAUUCUAGAGUAAUGUGUCUGAUAAAAUUUUCCGAAGUGAUGGGAAUGUUCUCUAUCUGCAGCAUCUAACAAAAUAGUCACUAGUGACACGUGGCUAUUGAGUACUAGGAAUGUGGCCACCAUGAAAGGCCGGCAAUUAAUUUUAUUUAAUUUGAAUUCACUUGAAUGUAAACCGACACAUCACGACGACUACAUCUGGCAGCUUGGUUCUGCAUGCAAAAUGCACAUAACUGAAAUGAAGACGUUCCUUGAAUUGUUUAGUGGUAGAUUGGAGACAGAAGAAGAAGGAGUUUGUGAACUGAAGAUAAAUCAUGGGAAUAAUCCAAUCCAAUGAGAAGAACAGAGAUGAAGUAAAGAAGAAACAUGAACAGAGCCUCAUUGUCUAUACAACAAAAUCAAACUGAAAGACGUGCCACUGAAGUCCUAGGAGCGGAGAGAGAAAAUGAGGCAGAAGAACAUUUGUAGAAAUAACAACUGCAAAGUCCCAAAAUUUAGUGACCGAUUUACAGGCCCAAGAAGCCCAGUGAGCCAGAAGCGUGAAAAAAUACGAGAUCUACACAUAGGCUCAUCAUGAUCCAAGGGCUGAACCAAAAAAUGCUGAGAAGCUCUCAAAAGCAGUGAGAGAAAAAACAGCACAUUCCAGCCAGAGACCCUGAUGAUGUCUGACUUCUCAUCAGACACAAAGGAUUCUGGAAGGCAGUGGAGUAGUGACUUUAAAGUACUGAAAGAAAAAAAAAUUAUACCCAGAAUUCUAUACCCAGCCAAAUUAUCCACCCUCCAAAAAAUCUUGAAUACCCAGAAGUUAAUAUUAGGUGAAUGAUAAACUCAAACAUAAAAACUGACACUAAAAAGCUUUUAGGAAAAAGAGACACUAUUUUUACAAUCUCACUUAGGUAAAGGUAUUUUAGACAGGACAUGAAAAGUAAUAACUGUAAAAGAAAAAAAAAUGAUAGAUUAGACUUUCUCAAGGUUGAAACCUUCUCCUCGUAGAAAGUGGAGAUUAAGAAAAGGAACCAGCAAGCUGCGGACGCCAGGUGGGAGGAAGUGUUCAUGCAUCCAACAGGAGCUGUAGAGGAACGUGUAACGGGUGGAGGCAGCUCAGUGGUGGUGGGCACACAGCCCAGUGCAGGAUCAGCCAGAGAUGUUAAGGGACAUCUUACCAAAAGGAGACCUAUGAAUGGCCAAGGUGGACAUGUCAAUGGUUUAUAGUUAACAGACAGACGGGAUUAAAGCCACCGGGAACAUACCACCCAGCCACACCCACAAGAAAGGCCGAGAGCCUAAGACUGGCAAACAGCAAAGGUCGACAAGGAUGGG
This 3636-nucleotide long non-coding RNA is filed under the name Marmota monax (woodchuck). Lineage: Eukaryota; Metazoa; Chordata; Mammalia; Rodentia; Sciuridae. The record is from RNAcentral.